GGAAGAAAGAAGGCAGGCCAAGCUAACCCAGUUCUCCAGCACACAUUCAAAGGCAAGAGGAGUCUAAAAUAUCCUUGGUCUUCCCCACCCCACCCACAGUGUGUAAGUACAAUCAUAGCACCAAGUAUGUCUUUCUUUAUACUUGACCCAGCUGUCUCCCAGUGGUGCAGUGAGAGCUACCUAAGGAGGUACUUUGGUGCUUUGGAGAAAUGUAGAUCUGGAUUCAGCUCCCUGCUUGACUAUUUAAGAGUUGUGUGGCCUUGGGCAAAUUACUCAUCUCUAAGCCUUUGAUUUCUCCAUGGUAAAAGGAGAUAAUGAUAGUGUGUAAGGCUUUGAAAUGGUAAUCAAUCAUUUGUGGUACAUGUUCAGACAAUGCUCACUCUUACUAUUACUCCCAAUCCACAGCCCAGAAGGGUGGGCAGAUAAGUAGCUAACCGAGGGGAGGCUGGGGCAGUUGACACCUGCUGUUCUGAGUUUCCCUUGCCUGCUCCCUAGUGCUGGCCAAAGACCCUGGCUGGAGAAGCAGGGAAUCAGCCCUGGGCUGCCACGGUAAGGCCAAGGGUUAGAAGAUGGAGGCCUGGCUAACCAGGCCCAGGCUCUGCUCAACCCAGGAGGGUUCCAAACACCACAUUUGGAACUUCACCCUGUGACUUAGAGGUGGGAAUCUAUGUAUUUCCUAAUAACUCUGUUUCAAAGCAAGUUUACUUCUGACUGAGACAAACGUGGGUGUGGUGGGUUCCUUGUAUUCAAAACGAAACAAAAGAAAAGAAAACAAAGAGCACCCCCUCCCCCAAGCCCGGAAGGCCUGUAGACCUUUUCCCAGGCAAAAUGUGCGAAAAGAGGAGGGAGCGCCUUUGUGGGUGCUGUCCUGAUUUAGAGCUUAGGAGCACAGCCCUCUCCAGCCCUCCUCAAGUCUGAGGUUCCAAGCUGUUAAAAGCACUGGGGUCCCAGGGGCGGGGUGGAUGAGAUUUGUUCAGCCCAUCCCCAGUCUCAGCGGCUUGCUCAGCCGGUCCCACGCAGGGGAGGACCAGAGCACCGCUGGGUUGGACGCACCCCACCCGGGGAAGCACCCGCUCUCCCUGCCGGAAUCCCUGGAAUGUCGCCGGUCCAGGAAGUGUCUAUCCGGGCUCUAUGCAGAGGGAGGGGUUAAAACCUGGAAUUUCUCGGGGUGCUUUUGCACAUAUUCCCCUCAAGCUUUUCAGCCCCAUGAAGUUGAAGCUCACGGGGGUGAGAAGGAAGCCGCCUACUUCUUCCCCUGGCCGACUUUGUCUCAGGAAGGUUCGCAAUCCCUGCUCUUGCCAAAAUAAGUUAUUAUGCAAGGAAACAGGAAAUCUUGGUCAAAUUACCAGCCCAGGGUCCACAACAUAGAGAUUAGGAACAGAUUCAGCAAACGGAAACAAGGUAAGCAACAAAAAGUGAUCAUAUCCCAAUCAUCAAAGGUAGGACACUAGAGGUUGGAGUCAAGGAGAAAAGGGGAAACUAUUUAGGUUCAAGAAGUAGGGCUUGAAAGGGGACUUAUCAGUGGAGACUUCAAGAAUAUCUGGUAGUAUUUGUUCACCCUACCCUGGUUUGUAUGUGAGUAAUCCUUGCCCUGCCCAUUACCCAAAAGGAUUCUGAUCUGAAGACUAAUAACUAUAUUUUAGAACAAAAAUACCCUCAAUUUUAUGUUAAGCAUUCAUUAAAAUAAGUCACAUAAUAAAGUUGAUCUGUAUCAUGAGGGAGAUAUAUCAUAUGGUGGGGUCUGGCCCUUUAAAUGAGGUUAGAAAUGACUGAAGAGCUCUAUUAACCCUCUUAUUAGGACAGAAUGGAUUCCACGUAGUAUUCCCUAAAACAAAAUAAAACCAAAAAAUGACAAGCUUCUGUUAAAGGCUGUUCACCUUUGAUGAUAUCUCUUAAUUGUUUACUUUUUAACUAAGGGUUUUUAACUAGGGCUAUUAGAACUCUAGAGGGUGUUUAAUCUGUUGAUCUGUUUUCAAAAGUCUGACUCCUUUCAUUUGUGAUCCUAGGUAAGUAGUAGCUUGGAGGGUUUUACUUAUGCAAAAAGAUCAGUUCCCUAAUUUUCAAUUUCUUUAAGUGUAAAAUUCUAGUGUCAGACGCUAUCUUGAAAUGGGGGAAGGGAAGUUAUGAGAAUGUAUUGGGUAAGAUUCCCUGAUGUUUUCAUACCUCUCAAACCUAGACCUCUACACCAAGGCCCCUUCCCCACCUGUAUAGUAAGCAAAAAUACUUUUUCUUUUUCUUUCUUUCUUUUUUUUUUUUUUUUUUUUGGCUUUUUAGGGCCGAACCUGCUGCAUAUGAAAGUUCCCAGGCUAUGGGCUGAACUGAAACUGCAGCUACUGGCAUAUGCCACAGCCACAGCAACGUAGGAGCCGAGCCAUGUCUGAGACAGCUACACCACAGCUCACAGCAAUGCCGGAUCCUUAA
This 2421-nucleotide long non-coding RNA is filed under the name Sus scrofa (pig). RNAcentral's name for it is "lncRNA (ENSSSCG00045034875.1)". The record is from RNAcentral. Lineage: Eukaryota; Metazoa; Chordata; Mammalia; Artiodactyla; Suidae.